UACGUAGGGUGCGAGCGUUAAUCGGAAUUACUGAGCGUAAAGGGCUCGUAGGCGGCCAACUAAGUCGGAUGUGAAAUCCCCAGGCUCAACUUGGGAACUGCAUCCGAUACUGGAUGGCUUGAAUUCGGGAGAGGGAUGCAGAAUUCCAGGUGUAGCGGUGAAAUGCGUAGAUAUCUGGAGGAAUACCGGUGGCGAAGGCGGCAUCCUGGACCGACAUUGACGCUGAUGAGCGAAAGCUAGGGGAGCAAACGGG
RNAcentral lists this ribosomal RNA (253 nucleotides) under uncultured bacterium. RNAcentral describes it as "partial 16S ribosomal RNA". It matches the Rfam family "Bacterial small subunit ribosomal RNA", at positions 524 to 776 of the family's 1533-position model. The record is from RNAcentral.